UUAAAUGAGAGUUUGAUCCUGGCUCAGGACGAACGCUGGCGGCGUGCCUAAUACAUGCAAGUAGAACGCUGAAGGAGGAGCUUGCUCUUCUGGAAGAGUUGCGAACGGGUGAGUAACGCGUAGGUAACCUGCCUGGUAGCGGGGGAUAACUAUUGGAAACGAUAGCUAAUACCGCAUAAGAUUGAAAAUCGCAUGAUAAUUGAUUAAAAGAUGCAAUUGCAUCACUACCAGAUGGACCUGCGUUGUAUUAGCUAGUAGGUGAGGUAACGGCUCACCUAGGCGACGAUACAUAGCCGACCUGAGAGGGUGAUCGGCCACACUGGGACUGAGACACGGCCCAGACUCCUACGGGAGGCAGCAGUAGGGAAUCUUCGGCAAUGGGGGCAACCCUGACCGAGCAACGCCGCGUGAGUGAAGAAGGUUUUCGGAUCGUAAAGCUCUGUUGUAAGAGAAGAACGAGUGUGAGAGUGGAAAGUUCACACUGUGACGGUAUCUUACCAGAAAGGGACGGCUAACUACGUGCCAGCAGCCGCGGUAAUACGUAGGUCCCGAGCGUUGUCCGGAUUUAUUGGGCGUAAAGCGAGCGCAGGCGGUUAGAUAAGUCUGAAGUUAAAGGCUGUGGCUUAACCAUAGUACGCUUUGGAAACUGUUUAACUUGAGUGCAGAAGGGGAGAGUGGAAUUCCAUGUGUAGCGGUGAAAUGCGUAGAUAUAUGGAGGAACACCGGUGGCGAAAGCGGCUCUCUGGUCUGUAACUGACGCUGAGGCUCGAAAGCGUGGGGAGCGAACAGGAUUAGAUACCCUGGUAGUCCACGCCGUAAACGAUGAGUGCUAGGUGUUAGGCCCUUUCCGGGGCUUAGUGCCGGAGCUAACGCAUUAAGCACUCCGCCUGGGGAGUACGACCGCAAGGUUGAACUCGAAAGGAAUUGACUGGGGCCCACACAAGCGGUGGAUCAUGUGGUUUUAAUUCAAGCAACGACGAAGACCUUACCAGGGCCUGACCUCCCGAUGCCCGCUCAAAAUGAAAAAGUUUUACUUCCGUAACACCGAUGAAAGGUGGUGCAUGGUUGUCGUCAGCUCGUGUCGUGAGAUGUUGGGUUAAGUCCCGCAACGAGCGCAACCCCUAUUGUUAGUUGCCAUCAUUAAGUUGGGCACUCUAGCGAGACUGCCGGUAAUAAACCGGAGGAAGGUGGGGAUGACGUCAAAUCAUCAUGCCCCUUAUGACCUGGGGCUACACACGUGCUACAAUGGCUGGUACAACGAGUCGCAAGUCGGUGACGACAAGCUAAUCUCUUAAAGCCAGUCUCAGUUCGGAUUGUAGGCUGCAACUCGCCUACAUGAAGUCGGAAUCGCUAGUAAUCGCGGAUCAGCACGCCGCGGUGAAUACGUUCCCGGGCCUUGUACACACCGCCCGUCACACCACGAGAGUUUGUAACACCCGAAGUCGGUGAGGUAACCUUUUAGGAGCCAGCCGCCUAAGGGAUAGAUGAUUGGGGUGAAGUCGUAACAAGGUAGCCGUAUCGGAAGGUGCGGCUGGAUCACCUCCUUU
Streptococcus sp. oral taxon 056 is the source of this 1547-nucleotide non-coding RNA. NCBI's taxonomy places the organism in Bacteria, Bacillati, Bacillota, Bacilli, Lactobacillales, Streptococcaceae. The record is from Rfam.